RNAcentral lists this long non-coding RNA (559 nucleotides) under Daucus carota (carrot). Its description in RNAcentral is "long non-coding RNA (DCAR_LNC005815)". Lineage: Eukaryota; Viridiplantae; Streptophyta; Magnoliopsida; Apiales; Apiaceae. The record is from RNAcentral.
CCUCCUCCUCCUCCGACUUCGAAUUCACCGUCUCCAUCUCCCCCCGCAAAUCCACCACCAAUCUCAUCCCCGCCGACCAGCUCUUCUACAAAGGCCAGCUCCUCCCUCUCCAUCUCUCUCCCCGUCUCUCUAUGGUCCGCACUCUCCUCCUCGCAUCCUCCUCCACCUCCUCUUCCGACACCACCACCACCGCCUCCCGCCACUCCACCGCCAGCUCCUCCUCCGACUUCCCCGACUCCCGCGACUCCUCCCGCCGCCCCAGCUCCGUCACCGACGACGACACUUCCAACUCACAACCCCUCACGCGCCUCCUCAACACCUCCCCAACCUCCGCCAAAAAACCCAAAUAUUUCUCCCUCUCCAGAUUCUCUUCCGUGUUCCGCAAGGAACCCAAGCUCCCAUCCUCCACCACCACCACCAUCACUUACGACACCAUCGCCAACACCUCCUCUCAAAACUCCGUCAAGCGCGUGAGCUCCACCGCCAAAGACGUGAUCCGCAAGUACCUAAAGAAAGUCAAGCCCCUCUACGAGAAGCUCUCUCAAAAACAAGGAGCCUC